This 253-nucleotide ribosomal RNA is filed under the name uncultured bacterium. RNAcentral describes it as "partial 16S ribosomal RNA". It matches the Rfam family "Bacterial small subunit ribosomal RNA", at positions 524 to 776 of the family's 1533-position model. The record is from RNAcentral.
UACAGAGGUCCCGAGCGUUGUUCGGAUUCACUGGGCGUAAAGGGUGCGUAGGUGGCAUGGUAAGUUUGAUGUGAAAGCUCAGGGCUCAACCCUGAAAUGGCAUUGAAUACUACUGUGCUGGAGGUUUGGAGGGGGGACUGGAAUUCUUGGUGUAGCAGUGAAAUGCGUAGAUAUCAAGAGGAACACCAGUGGCGAAGGCGAGUCCCUGGACAAUAUCUGACGCUGAGGCUCGAAGGCCAGGGUAGCGAAAGGG